AUGCUCGGCCACAGAAAGUGCCAAAUUCCGCGUCCCGUCUGAUCCGCGAAGACAAGUUACUUAUCGCUUGGCUAAUAGUAGGGUGGGGGACCACCUGGGAAUCCCAGAUGCCGAGCUUU
Molecule: ribosomal RNA, 119 nt
Organism: Cryptococcus amylolentus CBS 6039
Lineage: Eukaryota; Fungi; Basidiomycota; Tremellomycetes; Tremellales; Cryptococcaceae
Source: Rfam